AGAGUUUGAUCCUGGCUCAGGAUGAACGCUGGCGGCGUGCCUAAUACAUGCAAGUCGAGCGAACAGACGAGGAGCUUGCUCCUCUGACGUUAGCGGCGGACGGGUGAGUAACACGUGGAUAACCUACCUAUAAGACUGGGAUAACUUCGGGAAACCGGAGCUAAUACCGGAUAAUAUAUUGAACCGCAUGGUUCAAUAGUGAAAGACGGUUUUGCUGUCACUUAUAGAUGGAUCCGCGCCGCAUUAGCUAGUUGGUAAGGUAACGGCUUACCAAGGCAACGAUGCGUAGCCGACCUGAGAGGGUGAUCGGCCACACUGGAACUGAGACACGGUCCAGACUCCUACGGGAGGCAGCAGUAGGGAAUCUUCCGCAAUGGGCGAAAGCCUGACGGAGCAACGCCGCGUGAGUGAUGAAGGUCUUCGGAUCGUAAAACUCUGUUAUUAGGGAAGAACAAAUGUGUAAGUAACUAUGCACGUCUUGACGGUACCUAAUCAGAAAGCCACGGCUAACUACGUGCCAGCAGCCGCGGUAAUACGUAGGUGGCAAGCGUUAUCCGGAAUUAUUGGGCGUAAAGCGCGCGUAGGCGGUUUUUUAAGUCUGAUGUGAAAGCCCACGGCUCAACCGUGGGAGGGUCAUUGGAAACUGGAAAACUUGAGUGCAGAAGAGGAAAGUGGAAUUCCAUGUGUAGCGGCGAAAUGCGCAGAGAUAUGGAGGAACACCAGUGGCGAAGGCGAUUUUCUGGUCUGUAACUGACGCUGAUGUGCGAAAGCGUGGGGAUCAAACAGGAUUAGAUACCCUGGUAGUCCACGCCGUAAACGAUGAGUGCUAGGUGUGAGGGGGUUUUCCGCCCCUUAGUGCCUGCAACUAACGAAUUAGGCACGCCGCCUGGG
Molecule: ribosomal RNA, 891 nt
Filed under: uncultured bacterium
Lineage: Bacteria
Description: bacterial SSU rRNA
Rfam family: Bacterial small subunit ribosomal RNA
Source: RNAcentral